UGUGAACAAAGGCUCGCGGAAUUUUGUGUUUUAUGUAAAUAGAUCAGAAUUCAUUUUUAUUGCCGGAGAUUUUCAUAACCGGGGAAAACAAAAUGACUAACCCGAUCUUCCCAUCCUUGAAAGAAUUUGCUUUGUAUGCUGCUGAUUUGAGAAGAAAUAAUUAUGAACCAAGGUUUAUCAAGAUUCUACUGAAACAAGCAUGGUCGUUGAUAAGUGAUAAUGAAAUAAAAAGCUGGUCAUCUCAAACUGGAAUGCCUAUUGUACACCCAUCUUAACCUACCAG
Molecule: non-coding RNA, 283 nt
Organism: Styela clava
Lineage: Eukaryota; Metazoa; Chordata; Ascidiacea; Stolidobranchia; Styelidae
Source: RefSeq, a predicted model, not a curated record